UAUAGUUUAUUUGAUAAUUGAAUUAUACAUGGAUAACCGUGGUAAUUCUAGAGCUAAUACAUGCAGUAAAACCUGACUUUUUGGAAAGGUUGUAUUUAUUAGAUAUCAAACCAAUAUUCCUUCGGGUCUAUUGUGAUGAUUCAUAAUAACUGAUCGAAGCUUAGCUAGUCUAAGCUAAAUCAUUCAAGUUUCUGCCCUAUCAGCUUUCGAUGGUAGUGUAUUGGACUACCAUGGCAGUCACGGGUAACGGGGAAUUAGGGUUCGAUUCCGGAGAGGGAGCCUGAGAAACGGCUACCACA
This 299-nucleotide ribosomal RNA is filed under the name uncultured eukaryote. RNAcentral describes it as "partial 18S rRNA". It matches the Rfam family "Eukaryotic small subunit ribosomal RNA", at positions 111 to 414 of the family's 1831-position model. The record is from RNAcentral.